Molecule: long non-coding RNA, 555 nt
Organism: Amblyraja radiata (thorny skate)
Lineage: Eukaryota; Metazoa; Chordata; Chondrichthyes; Rajiformes; Rajidae
Exons: 2
Source: RefSeq, a predicted model, not a curated record
UAGUUAGGUCCUGGGUUGAAAAAGAAAGCAUCUGAUGUGUUGGCUUUUAACCUCUUGCUGGUUCUAUGAAAUGUUCCAUUCAAUGAAUGGAAAAUCUCUAAUUCUAGUUCCAUAAUUUCCUUUCAUCUAGGAGUGCGAGAUUUUAUUUGUGAAACUUGUGGGAAAUCAUUCAAAAGGAAGAAUCAUCUUGAAGUCCAUCGAAGGACACACACUGGGGAAACACCGCUCCAAUGUGAAAUCUGUGGAUAUCAGUGUCGACAGAGAGCUUCACUAAACUGGCACAUGAAGAAACACGACACGGAGAUACAGUACAACUUCACCUGUGAAUACUGUGGCAAGAAGUUUGAGAAAAUGGACAGUGUCAAAUUUCACAAGUUAAAAAGUCACCCUGAGUGUCAGACCAUGUGACUUGACAUUGCUGGCCUUGUACUGUUGUAGCAAGAGGCAUAUGCACGAAUCCUCCUCGACAAGGCGUAACAUUUGUGCAAGCACUGUUUAUUCAAACAUAAAAUUCUAUAUUUUCAGCUUCUCUAUAUUAAAUAUUUUCAAAUUGUU